This 20-nucleotide non-coding RNA is filed under the name Chlamydomonas reinhardtii. The record is from RNAcentral. RNAcentral also lists the same sequence under 26 other names. Lineage: Eukaryota; Viridiplantae; Chlorophyta; Chlorophyceae; Chlamydomonadales; Chlamydomonadaceae.
UACCUGGUUGAUCCUGCCAG